UACGUAGGCAGCGAGCGUUGUUCGGAGUUACUGGGCGUAAAGGGUGUGUAGGCGGUUCUCUAAGUUUGGUGUGAAAUCUCCCGGCUCAACCGGGAGGGUGCGCCGAAAACUGCAGGGCUAGAGUCCUGGAGAGGAAGGUGGAAUGCUUGGUGUAGAGGUGAAAUUCGUAGAUAUCAAGCGGAACACCGGUGGCGAAGGCGGCCUUCUGGACAGUGACUGACGCUGAGACGCGAAAGCGUGGGGAGCAAACAGG
RNAcentral lists this ribosomal RNA (253 nucleotides) under uncultured bacterium. RNAcentral describes it as "partial 16S ribosomal RNA". It matches the Rfam family "Bacterial small subunit ribosomal RNA", at positions 524 to 776 of the family's 1533-position model. The record is from RNAcentral.